AAAUAUAUAUACUUUAAUGGAGCUGUUUGUGCAUAGCAACAUUUAAAAUAUCCUUUUGUUUUUGCUGGUGGUAAAAUCUGAAUUGAAAUACUUAAUCAUCUUCUGUUUAUGUAUUUGUUUACCUAUUUACUUAGUUUCCUUCUCGCUUCCCUCCAGCCCUUUGGGUUUCUGUGGAGAAACCGAGAUAAGUUAAUCUGAACAAGCCAUGGUAAAGCUUGAAAAAGUGUUCCCCGUCAAAUUAWAGGGAACAACAUUUACUUUUCAUUUGUCUCCCAUAUUUUUGCGCCAGCUCUAAUCACAGUCUGCAUCAGGCAAGCCUGUCCCACGGAGGCUCUGCUCUGGAUCGCUUGGCUGUGCUGCUCCCGGAGACGACCCAACAGCAGCAUUCGGUGGGCUCCUGACAGGCUGUGAGACUGGGGGAAGUGGUGCUGAUCCGAGACAAACCAGGCAAUUUCUGGGGAAAAAAAAGAAAAAGAGGGUAUUUUUUCCAUCAUGAGUUUAUAAAACUUAAAAACUCUUGCUAAUUUAUAAUCUCACUGGAAUAUUUAUAYUUUUUUUUAGUUUUUAAAGAGAGUUGUAUAUCUUAUUUUUCCUCUCCUUAAUAUUGUUAAUAUCUGCUUCACCAUAACAUCGUAUUAUUUUUAAAGAUACCUUGCAUUGCACUUUCCCACGUUUUCUGAAUACYCUAUUUGCUUAUUUUUAAAUAAAAAGGAGGUGGCCUUACGAAAGCACUCAGCCACCUCCCRUGACAUCCUCCAAAGCCCGUUCGGUCCCCCCGAGCGCGGCAGCAGCACCGGCCCCCCGGGACUCACCGCAGCCGAGCAGCSGAGCCGCGCGCCGGCCCGCCCGGGUACCGACGGCACCAGAGCGGAUGCUCCUCUGCAGAGCCGCGUGCGCCGAGCCGAGCCGGAGACGCAGGCACACGCUUCUACAGCAGAGGGCAAUAAAGUGAAGCAGCUCACCAACACAGCUCAGCGGACACCGACAGGAGCUGAGGUGAGAAGAAGAGACCCGAAACCACUCUGCCUUAUUCUGCAAGGAGCCACAGUAGCAAAAUGACUGAGUUGGGAGCGGUGCUACGCUCAUGAGCAUGGUGGCAUCCAGGUGCUUUCUGGAUAUAAAUGCAGCACGCCUGCAGCCUGCGGUGGUCUGYGCUUGCCAAAGUAUUAAACCGAGAUUUAUAACACCAACUCUAGCUUAACCUCAGCAAAGCAGUGCUGCUACAGCUAUUGUGGUGUUAUCAGUUACUGUUUAUGGAGAUGAAUAAUGCAUGACCGGUUCCCGUGCUCCUGUGCGGUGGCUCAUCCCACUCCCUUCUUGCUGCUCUGUUUGAUGCGAUGAACCCCACAUUGCUGCCUAAGAAAACAGCCAGUUUUACAAAAUAGUCUUUUUUUUUUUCUUCUGACCAGCUCAUGUCAUUUAAAUAAAAACUAUAGAUUGUGUAUUCCUGUGGCUUUC
Molecule: long non-coding RNA, 1458 nt
Filed under: Dromaius novaehollandiae (emu)
Lineage: Eukaryota; Metazoa; Chordata; Aves; Casuariiformes; Dromaiidae
Description: lncRNA (ENSDNVG00000003410.1)
Source: RNAcentral